GACGAACGCUGGCGGCGUGCCUAAUACAUGCAAGUUGAGCGCUGAAGGUUGGUACUUGUACCAACUGGAUGAGCAGCGAACGGGUGAGUAACGCGUGGGGAAUCUGCCUUUGAGCGGGGGACAACAUUUGGAAACGAAUGCUAAUACCGCAUAAAAACUUUAAACACAAGUUUUAAGUUUGAAAGAUGCAAUUGCAUCACUCAAAGAUGAUCCCGCGUUGUAUUAGCUAGUUGGUGAGGUAAAGGCUCACCAAGGCGAUGAUACAUAGCCGACCUGAGAGGGUGAUCGGCCACAUUGGGACUGAGACCCGGCCCAAACUCCUACGGGAGGCAGCAGUAGGGAAUCGUCGGCAAUGGACGAAAGUCUGACCGAGCAACGCCGCGUGAGUGAAGAAGGUUGUCGGAUCGUAAAACUCGGUUGGUAGAGAAGAAAGUUGGUGAGAGUGGAAAGCUCAUCAAGUGACGGUAACUACCCAGAAAGGGACGGCUAACUACGUG
This 497-nucleotide ribosomal RNA is filed under the name uncultured bacterium. RNAcentral describes it as "partial 16S ribosomal RNA". It matches the Rfam family "Bacterial small subunit ribosomal RNA", at positions 28 to 507 of the family's 1533-position model. The record is from RNAcentral.